UNUUUAGGAAAGUCCCGUUAGUGUCCCUUG
RNAcentral lists this non-coding RNA (30 nucleotides) under Mus musculus (house mouse). Lineage: Eukaryota; Metazoa; Chordata; Mammalia; Rodentia; Muridae. The record is from RNAcentral.